This 497-nucleotide ribosomal RNA is filed under the name uncultured bacterium. Its description in RNAcentral is "partial 16S ribosomal RNA". It matches the Rfam family "Bacterial small subunit ribosomal RNA", at positions 355 to 867 of the family's 1533-position model. The record is from RNAcentral.
UGGGGAAUAUUGGACAAUGGGGGCAACCCUGAUCCAGCAAUGCCGCGUGUGUGAAGAAGGUCUUCGGAUUGUAAAGCACUUUCGACGGGGACGAUGAUGACGGUACCCGUAGAAGAAGCCCCGGCUAACUUCGUGCCAGCAGCCGCGGUAAUACGAAGGGGGCUAGCGUUGCUCGGAAUGACUGGGCGUAAAGGGCGUGUAGGCGGUUUACACAGUCAGAUGUGAAAUCCCCGGGCUUAACCUGGGAGCUGCAUUUGAUACGUGUAGACUAGAGUGUGAGAGAGGGUUGUGGAAUUCCCAGUGUAGAGGUGAAAUUCGUAGAUAUUGGGAAGAACACCGGUGGCGAAGACGGCAACCUGGCUCAUGACUGACGCUGAGGCGCGAAAGCGUGGGGAGCAAACAGGAUUAGAUACCCUGGUAGUCCACGCUGUAAACGAUGUGUGCUAGAUGUUGGGUAACUUUGUUAAUUCAGUGUCGCAGUUAACGCGUUAAAGCAC